CCAAUAGCGUAUAUUAAAGUUGUUGCAGUUAAAAAGCUCGUAGUUGAAUUUCGGGGUCAGUAGGUUGGUCGUGCCACUGGUAUGUACUGGUCUCACUGAUUCCUCCUUCCUGAUGAGCUGUAAUGCCAUUAAUUUGGUGUUGCAGGGAAUCUGGACUGUUACUUUGAAAAAAUUAGAGUGUUUAAAGCAGGCUAACGCUUGAAUACAUUAGCAUGGAAUAAUGAAAUAGGACGUUCGAUCCUAUUUUGUUGGUUUCUAGGAUUGACGUAAUGAUUAAUAGGGAUAGUUGGGGGCAUUAGUAUUCAAUUGUCAGAGGUGAAAUUCUUGGAUUUAUUGAAGACUAACUACUGCGAAAGCAUUUGCCAAGGAUGUUUUCAUUAAUCAAGAACGAAAGUUAGGGGAUCGAAGACGAUCAGAUACCGUCGUAGUCUUAACCAUAAACUAUGCCGACUAGGAAUCAGACGAUGUUAAUUUUUUAAUGACUCGUUUGGCACCUUACG
Molecule: ribosomal RNA, 500 nt
Filed under: uncultured Glomeromycotina
Lineage: Eukaryota; Fungi; Glomeromycota
Description: SSU rRNA
Rfam family: Eukaryotic small subunit ribosomal RNA
Source: RNAcentral